Molecule: long non-coding RNA, 7208 nt
Organism: Mus musculus (house mouse)
Lineage: Eukaryota; Metazoa; Chordata; Mammalia; Rodentia; Muridae
Product: predicted gene, 31872
Exons: 2
Source: RefSeq, a predicted model, not a curated record
UGCAACUUUUUUUUUCUAUUUAUUUACUUACUUAUUUAUUGGCAAGAGUGGAUAUAGAUCAUCUAACCUGCUCUGGAAAAGUGGGGUGUUUUUUUUUUUUUUUUUUUGGUUUUUUUGUUUUUUGGUUUUUUGUUUUUUUUGUUUUUUUUUUUUUUCCUGGACCCUUCCCUCUUCAAAGUUGUCUGAGAAUAUAAAAAUGAACAAGACAGCAGUGAACGUCACGAGGUGCUGAGACUAUCACUGAUGUCAGAGAAUUCAGACCGUGUGUGGUUCCUUAGAUCUAAAAGGAAACCUGCAAAGGUGAAUUAUAUGAUUAAACUGGGUGAAUGACUAAAUGAUUUGUAAGCCAGCAUAGCAUACAGUAGUGCCAAAAAUAAUGGGACAUGCUUGUCAAAGAAUGGCUUUUCAUCAGUUUUUGAAAAUCCUAUGUGGAUACUUGCAGGUUAGCAGUGGUGCAUGCCUUUAAUUCCCAGCACUUGGGAGGCAGAGGUAGGUGGAUCUUUGAGUUCAAGGUUAGUCUGGUCUAAAGAGUAAGUAAGUUCUAGGACAGCCAAGGCUACACAGAGAAACCAUGUCUUGAGAAGCAAGCAAACAGGGAAGAAAGAAAGUGAGAGAGGGGAAGAUUCAUUUAUUUUUAUUUUAUGUAUAUGAGUGUUUUGCUUAUAUGUAUGUAUGAGCACUGAGUAUGUGCCUAGUCACUGCUGAGGUCAGAAAAAGGGAUUCGAUCCCCAGAAGGGAGUUACAGGCAGUUGUGAGCCAUCGUGUGGGUGCUGGGAACUGAAUGUGAGUCACCUGCACGAACAGCAAGUGCUCUUAAAAACUGAGCCAUCAGCCGGCGUGGGGAGUGAUGGCACAUGCCUUUAAUCCCAGCACUCGGGAUGCAGAGGCAGGAGGAUUUCUGAGUUCAAGGCCAGCCUGAUCUACAAAGUGAGUUCCAAGACAGCCAGGACUGUACAGAGAAACCCUGUCUCGAAAAACCAAAAAAAAAAAAAAAAGCUAAGCCAUCUCUCUAGCCCCACCUUUGUAUUUACAUGUAGUUAGUUAUUGGAGGUGUUAGUGAGCGAUGGAUAGGGGAAAAUAAGUCUAGAAUAAGUCUUAGUUUGGGCAAUGAGGUACUGACAAGGGCUGGAAAAUGGCUCAGUAGAUAGUGCUUGCUUUGCAGGCAGGAGGGUACUCAUAGGUACUCAAGUCCUUGACGGUACAGAUAGGCAGAACUCUGUGAGUUUGAGUCCUGCCUGGCCUACAUAGCAAGUUCUAGGUCAGCCAGGACUACACAGUGAGUCCAUGUCUCAAACAAACAAAAAUAAACAAAGCUCAGAAAUAAAACAAAAGACCAAAAGCCCAGACAAUUUGGGGAGUGAUCCAUGAAGCAAUGAUUGACAUCUGGCCCCUACAGGACCCUCACAGGUAAGUACACCAAUAUGCAUGUGCGUAGACACAGACACACCCACAUGCCAAAAACAUACUGACAUAAAAUGACUGCUGAGAUUAUGUGACAAUAUUCAAUCACUGGUAAUAAACAAUAAAUAAGAUAAAAAUUCAGAGAAAAGAAACCCUUGUGAGAUAAUAAUCAAAAGUAUAGACUGAGUAUUGCCUUAGUAUAGACCUCUUAACUAUCAAAAUAAUAAUGAUAACCAUUUUAAUAAUUAAUUUUAAUAGCAUUAUUAUUAAUCUGCUAGUGUUUUAGGUUGUCUUUGAUAAGGUCUUUCUUUGUAUUUAGCCCUAAACUAGCCUCAAGUUUGGUGCAAUCAUCUUCUCUAUCUUGCAAGUGUUGAGAUUACAGGUUUGAAUCACCACAUCUGGCUAAAAUUAUAAUUUUAUUUAUUUUUUAAUGCCUGGACUUGAACCCAGAGUCACCUGCUUACUAAGCAUGGGCUAUACAACUAGCUAUAUCUUAACCUUGAUUAUUUCGUUCUGUUUUGUUUUAGUCUAGGCUAGUCUAGCCGCAUACUCUUGGUCUUCCUAUCUCUGUCUCCCAAGUACUGAGAUUAUAGGCAUGGGCUCUAGUCUAUUAAGGCUUAAGUUUAUGACUGGGAGGCAUUGGGUGGUCCAACAUUGCAGGCAGAGAGGCUGAGAACCUGGCGAGUGCUCAGACAGUGAAGCUGGAGUCCUCAGCAGUGUGGGUCUGGUGCUGAGGGGCUGCGGGGCUCCUGACGAGGCCCUGGUCUGCAGUUCACAUUGGAGCUUGAGGAAGCUGGAGCCUGGAGUUAGCAAGGAAUGGCAACAGCAGCAGAGAAAGGUGCAAUCAUCAGCCAGAAGGGAAGCCUGUGCCUCCUCUUCCUCAGACCGAUUUCUAUUUAGGCCACUCACUUUGCAGAGGAGGGUCUUCAAAGUUAAUCUUUUCAGAAAAUGCUCUUCACUCACUGCCAUGUCUCUUAGUUUACUCUAGACCCAAUCAAGUUGACAAUCCAGAUCAACCGUCACCGAUGUCAUAGGAGCUGCAUCAAAAGGAGCCCUGAGCAGAAGGAACAUGGAAAGUGUCCGGAGCAUAUGUGCCUUAGCUUCAUCUCAUUUAGUUUUCAGUUCAACAUACGUGAGGUUUUUCAUGGAACUCAGUGGUCCUGGCUUUGGCGCUCAGCGGCUUGUAGACACUCUGGCUUCCUGCAAAGUACAUCCCUAACUCGAUUAUUUCCGUGCGCCCCCAUGAGGAGCCCUGCACCUGUUCAGAAACGAAUCCAAAGCCGUGAUAAUGGAGCAGGUGCUGCCUCUGCUCCAUGCUGCUUUAGCAGAUGCUCCUCUGUCCUGGUGAUGUGAAAGGAUGGAGAGGGACGACCUUUUUCCUUUUAGCGUGGCCCUCAUUCGCGGCAAUAUUAGCAAAAUGGCUCUCUUGACUGUACUCACACAAUUCUCAUAAAUCCUGGAGCCUAGAUAUGUACCUGGACACUGUAGAUUGUAGCAGGAAGGAACCCAAGGAGUAUAUUCCACCACUCUAAAUACUUACUGCUCUAGUCUUAGACCAGGCUAUUAUUAGAUCAAGUUUAACUGUGGCUGCUUCCUUCUUGCCACAGCUCUUCUCUCUCAUGGGGGAAAACGUCAUGCUAAGGACUGGAAGUAGAUAGCCUAUUGGGAAAGUGUGCAUAGCAUGCAGGAGGCUCACGGUUCAAUUCCAGAAUGGAAACAGACAACAAGAUUCUGUUUUGCCAGCCUACUUUCACAGUUAACUGUUGGUUCUGGUGCAGUUAUUCUUAAAAUAUGGAUUUGGAGAUUGGCAGUGCCAACCGCACCUGGAAAGUUAUUACAAAUGAAAAUUCUUAGGAAUGAGAGUGAAAGUGUUGAUCAGGGGUAGGGUGCUUACCCAGCAAAGGUGUGUGUGUGUGUGUGUGUGUGUGUGUGUGUAAUGGGAGAGGUGGGUCAUUCUCUGGUCUUAUUUAUUAAUAUGGUGUUUAACAAUUCCACCAGGUGAUUCAAAUAUACUGUAAGUUUGAGCACUGUGUCUGAGGAUGUAGCUCAGUCAGUAGAGUGUUUUCCUAGUAUACAUAAAGGCCUGAGUUCUAUCCCCAACGAAGUAUAAACUGAGUGUGGUCGUAGGUAAUCUCAAUACUUAUGUGGGAGCAGGAGGAUUAGGAGUUGAAGGUCAGUUUCAUAAUAAGUUGUUGACCUGCUUAGGUUGUGUGAGAUCUUGUCUCAAAACAAAACAACCCAAAACACUGAUUACUACUACCUAGGAAAGAGGCAGCCAGCGGUCCAUGAGACCGUCUUAAACAAAACCAAACCAAACCAAAAGCAAACAUUGGAUGUGGUAGUAUGUGCCUGUCAGCCUAGCACAUGGGGAGUGUUCUUGUGAUUCUGUCUCUAUCUCAAAAACAAAACAAAUAUACCAAGCCAAAACAAAAAAUAAAAACAAAAAAUAAAAACCAGAUAUGGACCAACUUAACCUUUAAGUUUUUAGCAGUCCCUUACUAUGUUUGCUUAGAAGAGUUAAUUGUUAAACUUUCAUGUUAUUAAUUCUUAAAAAUCAAAUGAAUCAAAAUCCUGUUCAGAUGUGUUUCUGGACUCUACCACUGGAAUUCUGACCCAACAGAAUUGGACACAAGCCCAGGAAUGUGCAGCUCUGACAAUCGUGUUGAAUGGUUUUCUUGUAGGAAGUGCCCUGGUCUGUGCAUAGAGAGCCCCUGGUCCACAGCAAUGUCGGAUAGGAAGUGUGCUAAUGUUGCGUAGUGUAGUAGGGUGUGGUAAGAUGCAUAGAGAGGGCUGGCGAGGUGGCUCAGCGGGUAAGAGUACUGACUGCUCUCCCGAAGGUCCUUAGUUCAAAUCCCAGCAACCACAUGGUGGUUCACAACCACCCAUAAAGAGAUCUGACGCCCUCUUCUGGUGCAGAUGAAGUCAGCUACAGUGUACUUAUGUAUAUUAAUAAAUAAAUCUUUUUAAAAAAAGAUGCAUCGAGAAAGAGCUGGAGAGUUGGCUCAGUGGUUAAGAGCAUGUACUGCUCUCUCAGAAGACCUAGGUUCAGUUACUAGCACCCGCAUGACAGCAUAAAACCAUCUGUAAUUCCAGUUCCAGGGGAUCCUCAGGCCCCAGGCAUGCACACAGUGCACAUAUGCACAUGCAGGCAAAACACUCAUAUGCACAAAAUUAUUAAAAAGCCCAAACAAAGAAAAUAAGCUUUUGAAAGGAUGCAUAUAGUAAUAAUUAUGAUGCAUUUGGUUCAUAAUUACAGUGAGACAUCUCCACAAUUACUCAUUAAUUUAAAACAAAGUUAUUUGGGGACACAGAAGAGAAUGUUAAGCACGGAAGCAGCCUAAUGUAGCAGAAUGUAUAAUGAAUGGGACUCACAGGGCUGGGAUUAGAACUUGCUCCAGCCAUUCACUCAUUGUCAGAGUUUGGGUAGGUCAAUUUAUUUAACUUUAAUUGUUACUCUUUGUAAAAGGAGACAAAAAAGAAAGAAAGAGAGGAAGAAAGGAAGAGAAAAAGUAAAAAGGAAGGAAGAAAAAGAAAAUCAAAAGAGAAAGAAUAAUGGGACAGGCACUAAGGAUAUGACUCAGUUGGCAGAGUGUUUACCCAGCCUGCAGGAAGCCUUGGAUUUGAACCCAGGUGUGGUGGUGCAUGCCUAUAAUCCCAGGACUUGGAAAGCAGAGGCUGAAGAAUCAGAUUUCAUGUCAUUCUCAGUUACCAAAGGAGUUUGAGGCCAGCCCAGACUAGACAUAAGACCUUGUCCCUAACCCCCCAAAAGUCAAGGGAUAGCAUUAGCCUAAGUGAUUGAUUUUAUUAUAUUUUUGUUAGAUUUAUUUAUUUACUUAUUUAUUUAUUUUUAUCUUAGUCCAUAGUUUAUUUCAUCUCCAGUUUAUCUGUAUAUCUGUGUCUAUAUGAGGGAAUUUCACACAUGUGCAUUCCUUGCUGAGGCCAGAAGAGGGCAUCAGAUCCCCUGGAACUAGAGUUACAGGUGGUUGUGAACUACAAGGGUGCUGGGAGCCAACUUUAGGCCCUCUGAAGAGCAGCAAGUGCUCUUAAGCACUAAGCCACCUCUUCACUCCACCCUAUGCUAUAUUGUUUUGUAAAUUAAAUGGCAACCCAAGGCAAACAAUUUGUAUAUUUUGAACAGCCUUUCAAUUGUGACUGGUGGUGUGGUGGUAAUGAGACUCAAACCUAGGACCUUGCAAAUGAUAGGCAAGUGUUUUCCUAUUGAGCUAUUCCUCUGGCUCAAAUUUUAUUAUUAUUAUUAUUACUAUUAUUAUUAUUAUUAUUAUUAUUAUUAUAUUGCUAUCAAUCUAGAAGCAAUCUAGUUAGAAAGAUAAAAUGUGAGUAUAUAAAACAAAAUGAAAACAUGCCACUUGUAGGUAAUAUAAAAAGGGCUGUGAAGUGAUAGGUUUUUUUUUGUUUUGUUUUGUUUUUUUCGAGACAGGGUUUCUCUGUAUAGCCCUGGCUGUCCUGGAACUCACUUUGUAGACCAGGAUGGCCUUGAACUCAGAAAUCCGAUUACCUCUGCCUCCCAAGUGCUGGGAUUAAAGGCGUGCGCCACCACACCUAGAGAAGUGAUAGGAAUUAAGUCACAAAUAAUAAUGAAAUAUCUAAACCAAAGCCAGGCAUGAUAGAAAAUACUUGUAAUCUCAGUACUUGGGAGAUGGAGGCACAAGAAUCAGGAGUUCAAGGUCAUCCUUAGCUAUAUAACAAGUUGUAGGCUUGCAUCAGAUAUGUGAGACUCUGACUGAAACCCCUUCACACCACCAAAAGUAAAAAUACAGAUAAGCAUAAAGAGAAGCAGUUUGGCUGUUUGUAAUAGUUCCCCAGGAGAUUAGAUUGUUUAUUUAUUCCAUUUAAUUUUAUUUUAAAGUUUAAACAUAAAGGUUAGGAGUGAAAGUCGGGGUAGGAUGCUUGUCAGACACUUGUGAGAUCCUGAGGGCAGGUCUCAACACAUAAACAAACAAACAAACAAAACUAGAGCUGGAGAGAUAGCCUAGUCAUUAAAAUACGUGUCACUGAGUUCAGUUUCUCAGAACCCCAGGUAAAAUAGAUGGGUGUGGCAGUGUGGGAAGGCAGUGAUAGAUAGGAGGAACCCUGAAGCCCAUUGGCCAAGCCCAGCUAGCUGAAUCAGCAAGCUCCAGGUUCAGUGAAAGACCCUAUCUCAACGAAUAAUGUGGAGGAGCAGAGAAAUGGCUCAGAGGUUAAGGGUGUUCCCUGGUUUUCCAGAAGAUCUAAGUUUGGCUUCUAGAGCCUGUAUCAAGUGGUCCUGGUUGCUCCACCUGUAACUCCAGCCCCUGGGAGCAUGCACACACACGUUUACGAUUGUUUAAAUCUUAAAAAUAAAGUGUUAAGUGAUUGAGGAAGACACUUGAUGUUGAACUGUGGUAUGACAUUCACACGGAUAUUAUAAAUAAAUAAAUAAAUAAAUAAAUAAAUAAAUAAAAUAAAAAAUGAAAUAAAGCAAAGCUUAGAAACAGAACCAAAGGCUUUAUGGCAAGGGCAAAGAAGACAUAGUUACUGAAAGGGACAUGGUGAUGAACAAGGUCCUGGGGAUUGUUCUGAUGCAAAUGUGUUUGUCACACUGUGCUUUUGGUGGCCAUCUCCAUAGAGGCUCCUGAACAGGUGAGUGACCUGGUAGCUACCUGCCUGAUCCUUACUGUGGCAUGGUAAGUUGGCUAGCUGGAUAGUUGACUGGUAAAAUCACUUAGCGUAUUUCUUUGGCAGGAGUGACUUAAUCACGAAGCCACUUGUGGUCAUGCUUCAGCUUCUCAAGUAUUGAUAAUAAAGAUGGGCUCAUCAGCUUGAUAACA